GUCUGUAUGGAGUUAUAUAAAGUCUAACCUGCCCAUUGAAUUUUUAAAAGGCCGCAGUAUUUUAACUGUGCAAAGGUAGCAUAAUAAUUAGCUUUUUAAUUGAGAGCUUGUAUGAAGGGUUGGACAAAGGAGAAUCUGUCUUUGAUGUUUAUUUUGAAUUUUACAUUUAAGUGAAAAGGCUUAAAUUAAUUUAAGGGACGAUAAGACCCUAUAAAUCUUUACAUUGUUUAUUUUUUUUUGUUAUUUAGAUUAUUUAACAAUUAGAAGAAUAAAUAUAUGUUUUGUUGGGGUGACAGGGAUAAAAAAUAAAUAACUGUUUUUAAAAAAAACAAAAAUAAUUGAAUAAAAAAAAAGAUCCUUUUUAAAGAUUAAAAGUUAAAGUUACUUGGGAUAACAGCGUAAUUUUUUUUGAGAGUUCAUAUCGAAAAAAAAGUUUGCGACCUCGAUGUUGAAUUAAAAAAUUUUUAUAGAGCAGAAAUUAUAAAAAAGAGUCUGUUCGACUUUUAAAUUUUU
Molecule: ribosomal RNA, 513 nt
Filed under: Munidopsis pholidota
Lineage: Eukaryota; Metazoa; Arthropoda; Malacostraca; Decapoda; Munidopsidae
Description: Munidopsis sp. 2 PCRF-2021b partial large subunit ribosomal RNA
Rfam family: Bacterial large subunit ribosomal RNA
Source: RNAcentral